RNAcentral lists this ribosomal RNA (500 nucleotides) under uncultured bacterium. RNAcentral's name for it is "partial 16S ribosomal RNA". It matches the Rfam family "Bacterial small subunit ribosomal RNA", at positions 30 to 523 of the family's 1533-position model. The record is from RNAcentral.
AUUGAACGCUGGCGGCAGGCCUAACACAUGCAAGUCGAGCGGAUGAGGGGAGCUUGCUCCUCGAUUCAGCGGCGGACGGGUGAGUAAUGCCUAGGAAUCUGCCUAGUAGUGGGGGACAACGUUUCGAAAGGAACGCUAAUACCGCAUACGUCCUACGGGAGAAAGUGGGGGAUCUUCGGACCUCACGCUAUUAGAUGAGCCUAGGUCGGAUUAGCUAGUUGGUAGGGUAACGGCCUACCAAGGCGACGAUCCGUAACUGGCCUGAGAGGAUGAUCAGUCAGACUGGAACUGAGACACGGUCCAGACUCCUACGGGAGGCAGCAGUGGGGAAUAUUGGACAGUGGGCGAAAGCCUGAUCCAGCCAUGCCGCGUGUGUGAAGAAGGCCCUCGGGUCGUAAAGCACUUUAAGUUGGGAGGAAGGGCUUACAGCGAAUACCUGUGAGUUUUGACGUUGCCGACAGAAUAAGCACCGGCUAACUUCGUGCCAGCCGCCGCAGUAA